ACCCAUGUCCAGGAUGAAGGUAAGGUAAUACUUACUGGAGGUCCGAACCCACGCACGUUGAAAAGUGCGGGGAUGAGGUGUGGGUAGCGGAGAAAUUCCAAUCGAACUUGGAGAUAGCUGGUUCUCUCCGAAAUAGCUUUAGGGCUAGCCUCGAGGUAAAGAGUCAUGGAGGUAGAGCACUGUUUGGACUAGGGGCCCUUCUCGGGUUACCGAAUUCAGAUAAACUCCGAAUGCCAUGUACUUAUACUCGGGAGUCAGACUGCGAGUGAUAAGAUCCGUAGUCGAAAGGGAAACAGCCCAGACCACCAGUUAAGGUCCCCAAAUAUAUGUUAAGUGGAAAAGGAUGUGGGGUUGCUUAGACAACCAGGAUGUUGGCUUAGAAGCAGCCACCAUUGAAAGAGUGCGUAAUAGCUCACUGGUCGAGUGACCCCGCGCCGAAAAUGUACCGGGGCUAAACAUAUUACCGAAACUGUGGAUGAACCUCUUUAGAGGUUCGUGGUAGGAGAGCGUUCUAAGGGCGGUGAAGUCAGACCGGAAGGACUGGUGGAGCGCUUAGAAGUGAGAAUGCCGGUAUGAGUAGCGAAAGAAGGGUGAGAAUCCCUUCCACCGAAUAUCUAAGGUUUCCUGAGGAAGGCUCGUCCGCUCAGGGUUAGUCGGGACCUAAGCCGAGGCCGAUAGGCGUAGGCGAUGGACAACAGGUAGAGAUUCCUGUACCAGUGCUAAUUGUUUAACCGAUGGGGUGACACAGAAGGAUAGGGAAUCGCACGAAUGGAAAUGUGCGUCCAAGCAGUGAGUGUGAGAAGUAGGCAAAUCCGCUUCUCGCGAAGCAUGAGCUGUGAUGGGGAAGGAAAUUAAGUACGGAAGUUCCUGAUUUCACGCUGUCAAGAAAAGCCUCUAGGAAGAGUAGUACUGCCCGUACCGCAAACCGACACAGGUAGAUGAGGAGAGAAUCCUAAGGUGAGCGAGAGAACUCUCGUUAAGGAACUCGGCAAAAUGACCCCGUAACUUCGGGAGAAGGGGUGCUCUAUUAGGGUGCAAGCCCGAGAGAGCCGCAGUGAAUAGGCCCAGGCGACUGUUUAGCAAAAACACAGGUCUCUGCAAAACCGUAAGGUGACGUAUAGGGGCUGACGCCUGCCCGGUGCUGGAAGGUUAAGAGGAGUGCUUAGCUUCGGCGAAGGUACGAAUUGAAGCCCCAGUAAACGGCGGCCGUAACUAUAACGGUCCUAAGGUAGCGAAAUUCCUUGUCGGGUAAGUUCCGACCCGCACGAAAGGCGCAACGAUCUGGGCACUGUCUCAACGAGAGACUCGGUGAAAUUAUAGUACCUGUGAAGAUGCAGGUUACCCGCGACAGGACGGAAAGACCCCGUGGAGCUUUACUGCAACCUGAUAUGGAAUGUUUGUACCGCUUGUACAGGAUAGGUAGGAGCCGAAGAGACGUGUGCGCUAGCAUACGAGGAGGCAAUGGUGGGAUACUACCCUGGCUGUAUGACCAUUCUAACCCGCCACGCUUAGCGCGUGGGGAGACAGUGUCAGGUGGGCAGUUUGACUGGGGCGGUCGCCUCCUAAAGAGUAACGGAGGCGCCCAAAGGUUCCCUCAGAAUGGAUGGAAAUCAUUCGCAGAGUGUAAAGGCACAAGGGAGCUUGACUGCGAGACUGACAAGUCGAGCAGGGACGAAAGUCGGGCUUAGUGAUCCGGUGGUUCCGCAUGGAAGGGCCAUCGCUCAACGGAUAAAAGCUACCCCGGGGAUAACAGGCUUAUCUCCCCCAAGAGUCCACAUCGACGGGGAGGUUUGGCACCUCGAUGUCGGCUCGUCGCAUCCUGGGGCUGUAGUCGGUCCCAAGGGUUGGGCUGUUCGCCCAUUAAAGCGGCACGCGAGCUGGGUUCAGAACGUCGUGAGACAGUUCGGUCCCUAUCCGUCGCGGGCGCAGGAAAUUUGAGAGGAGCUGUCCUUAGUACGAGAGGACCGGGAUGGACACACCGCUGGUGUACCAGUUGUUCCGCCAGGAGCAUCGCUGGGUAGCUAUGUGUGGCAGGGAUAAACGCUGAAAGCAUCUAAGCGUGAAGCCCCCCUCAAGAUGAGAUUUCCCAUUUCUUCGGAAAGUAAGAUCCCUGAAAGAUGAUCAGGUAGAUAGGUUUGGAGUGGAAGUGUAGCGAUACAUGGAGCGGACAAAUACUAAUCGAUCGAGGACUUAACCAAAA
Molecule: ribosomal RNA, 2200 nt
Filed under: Listeria monocytogenes
Lineage: Bacteria; Bacillati; Bacillota; Bacilli; Caryophanales; Listeriaceae
Description: partial 23S ribosomal RNA
Rfam family: Bacterial large subunit ribosomal RNA
Source: RNAcentral